This 440-nucleotide ribosomal RNA is filed under the name uncultured bacterium. RNAcentral's name for it is "partial 16S ribosomal RNA". It matches the Rfam family "Bacterial small subunit ribosomal RNA", at positions 338 to 795 of the family's 1533-position model. The record is from RNAcentral.
CCUACGGGUGGCAGCAGUAAGGGAUAUUGGUCAAUGGGGGAAACCCUGAACCAGCAACGCCGCGUGAGGGAAGACGGUUUUCGGAUUGUAAACCUCUGUCCUCUGUGAAGAUGAUGACGGUAGCAGAGGAGGAAGCUCCGGAUAACUACGUGCCAGCAGCCGCGGUAAUACGUAGGGAGCGAGCGUUGUCCGGAUUUACUGGGUGUAAAGGGUGCGUAGGCGGCUUGGCAAGUCAGUAGUGAAAUCCAUGGGGUUAACCCAUGAACUGCUAUUGAAACUGUCGAGCUUGAGUGAAGUAGAGGUAGGCGGAAUGCCCGGUGUAGCGGUGAAAUGCGUAGAUAUCAGGAGGAACACCGGUGGCGAAGGCGGCCUGCUGGACUGCGACUGACGUUGAGGCCCGAAAGCGUGGGGAGCAAACAGGAUUAGAUACCCGGGUAGUC